UUAAUUUCUUAAUUUCAUAUAAAAUUAAUAAUAAGUAAUAAUUGUAGAAUACUUAGGUUAAAAUGUUUGAUUUUGGCUUAAAUUCUUAUAUUAUAUUUGAAAUUGUAUGAAAAUUUAUGUAUGGAAGUAGAAAUUAAUUAUAUAUUAGUUUUUAUUGAGAUAAUUGAGAAAGUCGAUAAAAGGUUAAAUCUCAGCAUGGAAUAUUACGUGAAGUAUAUACAAAAGUAUGACGUAGUAAAUAUAAUAAAUCUGAUUAAUAUUUGUGCCAGCAUUCGCGGUUAUACUUUAAGGUUGAGUAAGAGUUUUAGGUUGUUAGUUAAAUGAAUUAAUUUAAAAGUAGUAUAAACAAUAGCAAGUGAAAUUGAUUAUUGAUGGUUAUAUAAUAUAUGUGAUAAAUUAAAUUUGAAGCUAAAAAGGUUCAAUUAAAAACUAGGAUUAGAUACCCUAUUAUUAGAAAAUGAAUAUAAAACACUUAAUUAGUUAGAGAUAAAUACUUAAAAUUUAAAAGAUUUGGCGGUAAUUUAAUCUUUUCAGAGGAACCUGUUUUUUAAUCGAUAAACCACGAAGAAUCUUACUUACUUUAGUUUUAGAUUGCGGGUUUGUAUACCAUCAUUAACAAAUAAUUUUAAAAGAAAAAAUUAUUUAAAAUAAUAGAUUAUAAAAAUUAGAUCAUGGUGCAGCUUAUAAGUAAGGUAAAAUGGGUUACAAUAAAUCUUUUUAUACGGAUUAAAAUAAAAUAAAAUUUAUUAUAAAGGAGGAUUUGAUUGUAUUGGAAGUUUAAUAAGCUUUAAAGAUAUAAGCUCUAAAUUAUGUACAUAUCGCCCGUCGCUUUCGUCUAUAAACGAAAUAAGUCGUAACAUAGUAGAUGUACUGGAAAGUGUAUCUAGAAUUGUGAAGAGAAAUAGUUAACUGGAGUUGGAGAAAUUUCUUUGA
RNAcentral lists this ribosomal RNA (933 nucleotides) under Venitus latreillei. Its description in RNAcentral is "Macrophthalmus latreillei 12S ribosomal RNA". The record is from RNAcentral. Lineage: Eukaryota; Metazoa; Arthropoda; Malacostraca; Decapoda; Macrophthalmidae.